Molecule: transfer RNA, 74 nt
Filed under: Microbacterium sp.
Lineage: Bacteria; Bacillati; Actinomycetota; Actinomycetes; Micrococcales; Microbacteriaceae
Description: tRNA-Lys
Source: RNAcentral
GGGUCUCUCGUUCAUUGGCAGGACCGCCGGCUUUUACCCGGCAGAGCAGGGAUCAAUACCCUGGGGGCCCACCA